UACGUAUGGAGCAAGCGUUAUCCGGAUUUACUGGGUGUAAAGGGAGCGUAGACGGUGAGGCAAGUCUGAUGUGAAAGGUGUGGGCUCAACCCGCAAACUGCACUGGAAACUGUCCCGCUUGAGUGUCGGAGAGGUAAGUGGAAUUCCUAGUGUAGCGGUGAAAUGCGUAGAUAUUAGGAGGAACACCAGUGGCGAAGGCGGCUUACUGGACGAUUACUGACGCUGAGGCUCGAAAGCGCGGGGGGCAAAC
This 250-nucleotide ribosomal RNA is filed under the name uncultured prokaryote. RNAcentral describes it as "partial 16S ribosomal RNA". It matches the Rfam family "Bacterial small subunit ribosomal RNA", at positions 524 to 773 of the family's 1533-position model. The record is from RNAcentral.